AUUUUCUAUCAAAAUUUUACGUGAUUUGGAUAUUUCUACACCGUUAAACUUGCAAACGGCUCACCACGGCCAUUAAAAUCAUUGAUUUUGAGCCCCUUCGAUCACUAGGCAAAUGAUAUUGAAAAAUCACAAAAUUUAUUUUCUAGAUACUUCAAAUACUCUAGAUCAACUCUAACGGAGCCGAUCGUCAAUUCGAAAGUCUGAACAUCAAAAACAACUUAGAACCACGGAGGGCUCCGUACUUCCAUAAGCAUACCAGCCCACUCUAUAUAUAUAUAUAUAUAUAUAUAUAUAGAGUGGGGCUACUAUACUUCUGAAAGUACGGAGCCUUCCGUACUUCCAGAUAAUGUUUCGACUUUCGAAUCAUCGAUCGACUUCGUUAAAUUUGAUCUAGAGUAUUUGAAAUACUUAGAAAAUAAAUUUUAUGAUUUUUCGAUAUCAUUUGCCUAGUGAUCGAAGGGGCUCAAAAUUAAUAAUUUUAAUGGCCGUGGUGAGCCGUUUGUAAAUUUAACGGUGCAGAAAUAUUCAAAUCACGUAAAAUUUUGAUAGAAAAUUCUUUAUACUAUAUAAAAUAAGAUCAAUAUUUUUGAUCUAAAAUUUUAAUGUCAUAUUAUCACGUUUUGUAAGAUUUUUAUNAUAGAAAAUUCUUUAUACUAUAUAAAAUAAGAUCAAUAUUUUUGAUCUAAAAUUUUAAUGUCAUAUUAUCACGUUUUGUAAGAUUUUUAUUUUCAACCGUUGAUUCUGAGCCCCUUCAUUCACUAGGUAAAUAAUAUCGAAAAAUUACAAAAUUUAUUUUCUAGGUAUUUUAAAUACUCUAGAUCAAGUUUAACGAAGCCGAUCGACGAUUUGAAUGUCGCAAAAUCGAAAACGACCUGGAAGCACGGAAGGCUCCGUGCUUCCAGAAGCAUAGUAGCCACACUCUAUAUAUAUAUCACCAUCAUCCCAACCCUACAUCUCUCCAUCCAAAGGCUAAAAACUCAAAAGCACCACCCUCUUGGUGUUUUUGAGAGUAUUCUAGCUCAACUCUCUCUCUAUAUAUUAUAUAUAUAUAUAUUUUUUGAGAGAUAGGUAGCAUGCUACCCGCUUCCACUACAACAAAAACGGUCUAUAACAACAUUUUUAAAUGUCGGUACAGGUCAAAAAAAGUGCUGUUGGCUAAAUUACCGACACUUUUAAAAAGUGUUGCUAUAUGUGGGGUUGCUAGGUAUAUAGUGGCAGUUAAAGAGUGUCGCUAUAACAUAAAAAGAGUGCUGUUAAUUUACCAACACUUAUUUAAGCAUUUAGCAACCGCUGGAACUCUACCUCGUUGGAUGCGGUGGCGGAGGAGGACGAGAGGAAGAGGAAGGGAUCUUCUUCUAGGAUUUCAGUUGAUUGAGUGAGGGGAGACGGGGAAAUGGUAAUCGAUUUUUCUUUUCUUUUUCUUUUCUGUUUGUAAUCGGGCCGAAUAGGCUGGGUGGGGUGGGUUGAGUAGAAUAACCUUUUAUUUUUGGUUGGAUUGGACUUUAUAUUUAGGCAUUAGUAGAUUUUUUUAAAAUUUUGACAUAAAUGGAACACUUGCACAAAAGUGUCCUAAACAUGUGUUCCUAUAAUCUAAUUAUGUUGUAAUGUUCGUUUAUUUUAUUUAGAAAUAAAAUUUGCUGGAAAUGUAAAUCAACUAGGAUUUGAAUUUAAGUAUCAGGUACCAACCAUCAAGCUCUUUACCAAUUGCUCUAGAAACAGCCGGUUAUAUAUUAUAUAUUGUU
RNAcentral lists this long non-coding RNA (1742 nucleotides) under Ananas comosus (pineapple). RNAcentral describes it as "long non-coding RNA (ACOM_LNC040433)". Lineage: Eukaryota; Viridiplantae; Streptophyta; Magnoliopsida; Poales; Bromeliaceae. The record is from RNAcentral.